This 232-nucleotide ribosomal RNA is filed under the name uncultured bacterium. RNAcentral describes it as "partial 16S ribosomal RNA". It matches the Rfam family "Bacterial small subunit ribosomal RNA", at positions 99 to 334 of the family's 1533-position model. The record is from RNAcentral.
CGGACGGGUGAGUAACGCGUGGGAAUCUACCCAGUAGUGGGGGACAACAGUUGGAAACGACUGCUAAUACCGCAUACGCCCUACGGGGGAAAGCAGGGGAUCUUCGGACCUUGUGCUAUUGGAUGAGCCCGCGUGAGAUUAGAUAGUUGGUGGGGUAAUGGCCUACCAAGUCUACGAUCUCUAGCUGGUCUGAGAGGAUGAUCAGCCACACUGGAACUGAGACACGGUCCAG